RNAcentral lists this long non-coding RNA (274 nucleotides) under Hordeum vulgare. RNAcentral describes it as "long non-coding RNA (HVUL_LNC001955)". The record is from RNAcentral. Lineage: Eukaryota; Viridiplantae; Streptophyta; Magnoliopsida; Poales; Poaceae.
ACCACUUCCCUACCUCGGACCCCGCGCGACUCCGGUCUCUCUCUCUCUUCCUCGCGGUGCCAGGUGGUGGCGCUGGGCCCACGCCGCCACGCGCAGGCGGGGGCCGUCCUCGGCCGUCGGAUCCGCGGCAUGACCCCCGAGCCCGGACCAGAGAGGAGCCCCAGAAUCAGAUUAAACCCACUCCCACACAGGGACACUGGGCGCCGCUUCGACCGACCCGCCGUCGGAGAGAUCGCUCGCUGUCGGCCUCGGCUUCGGCGCCGGCCAGGCUCCC